GUGAAACCAAAGAAAUCGUCAUGGUGGAAAAGAGCUUAAUAUGGGUAUGAAAAAAUGUUGAUUUCUCUCACCCCAGAGAUAUUUCUAAGAAACUAGAAAUAAUUUUCUAGGUAAAUGGGCUUAUGCAAAAUAUAAGGAAAGAGUCCACAAUCACAGAAGAUGUUCUGCUCUUCACUGACAUGUCUCUUCCUGGACAUGCUAAUCCUUAUGGAAUUCACCAACAUAUUGCAUAGAGAAAACCAUUCCAUCAAUAUGGAAGAAAUAAAAUAAAGCCAAGAAAGAAGAUGGAUGAUCUGUCAAGCAAUGAAAGACUUUUCUCCUCUGGGACAAUGUACCACUUCCACAGUACUCUCCAUCCCUCCCUGAUCAGGAUGCUGGUGUCUGGGGCAUAACAACAUUCUUUCGUGGAAGUUUGGCAGUCAUCCAUCAUCAAUGCUCUCCUUGGAAGUUCUCAUGCAUCAUGGAAAAGGGCCUGCCCUCUCCCUACCAACAAUAUUUGCCUGGAAGGAGAAAAUUCCCCCUCCCCACAGCUCUAGCUCUCUUUCUCUGACAAAUCCGCAGUGCAGCAGGAAGUGGCAAGUAGGUGUGAAUAAACUCAGCCAAUAUUCAGUGCCAAGAAAAUGAAGCACUUUUUUUU
Molecule: long non-coding RNA, 637 nt
Filed under: Parus major (Great Tit)
Lineage: Eukaryota; Metazoa; Chordata; Aves; Passeriformes; Paridae
Description: lncRNA (ENSPMJG00000019459.1)
Source: RNAcentral